CGCUUAAAUAGGCCAACAUUAAUUGGGUAAAGACACACGGCUGGGGGCAUUCAAGUCCUAAUGAGUAGUGAUGUAUCUAUCAACAGAAGCUAGGGCCACCUAGUGGCUAGGAGUGUUAUUGCAUAGAACCAGUGUAAGCGAAAUGAUGGGGAGUGUUACUAGUUAGUGCCAACUAGAGGUUGGGAGAGUCAUUGCAAUCAGGGAGAGUUCUUCCAAGCUGGGCCUUACAUUGUGUCUGUCGGUGGUCAACAACCUCCUCUGCAGCACUGCUGAUUCUGAUCGAUAUCAGGGAAUAAUCUACAGCCAAACAGCAGGUGCAUCACUGCAGAGGCCAACAUCAACAGCAGACAAGAAUAAUGGGAGCCAAUAUUUCACGCAAGAUUGUGGGAGCGUUGACAGGGACGGUGACAGGUGCCGGUCUGGUCAUGUUAGGACUGUUGACCCAAGUUUUUGUAAUUGCUAGAAGAAUGGGAAUUGCACAAGUUUUGGGGGCAGCAGGAUUUACAGGAAUUACAAGAGUUACAGGAGUUACAGCACCAGCAAAUGAAGUUGCAGAAGCAGCAGCAAACAGAGCAGCAGCAGUGGCUCAGAAACUACUUACAGCGAUCAGCACUGGAUUGAUUAUAGCAGCACUUGGAGGAUGCAUUAUUGGAUAUGAAGAGGGAGGACAAGCUGAUUCAAUGUAUGAUGCAACUACAAGGGCAUUAGAUUGUAACUUUGAGCUGGCAAAAUAUGUAAUUAAGAAAGUACGAGAAUUUAUUGCUUUUGUUUUAAAAGACAACAGAAUGUGAAACUGAACUAAAGAAGGGCUCAUAUGGCCCUUUUUAUAAGAUGCAUGUAAGUCUCAGGAGUCCCAAAAAUAUGUCUGUGACGUUUCAGUUUCAAAUACCCCACAGAUCAUUCAUUAUACCACGCUAUAAAUGUCCCUUUUUGACUGCAAGCGAAAAAUAUGCUGCUUUCAUGUCUCUUUAAAUGCAAAUGAGCUGCUUUCCCCUGCCUUUACAGCUCCUGCCUCAAUUACUACAGCAACAACACACAACAAACUCACACAAAACACACAGAUUUCACAUAAACACAGUCAGUUAUGUCUGUGAACGUAAACAGCUGCAUGUGUAUCAGUAUAUUAAAUCUGUGAAACAGGUGACAACAUACUACUAACACAACUCAACCAGGCCUUGCCUAUGGUAGCAG
Molecule: long non-coding RNA, 1191 nt
Filed under: Sinocyclocheilus rhinocerous
Lineage: Eukaryota; Metazoa; Chordata; Actinopteri; Cypriniformes; Cyprinidae
Description: lncRNA (ENSSRHG00000011316.1)
Source: RNAcentral